AUAUCUCUCUGUACGGGAAGGAUGAGAAGCUUCGACCAAGGUUCGAUUCGAGCGCAGCGAGAAAGCGUUGCCGCAGGCAACGACCCGAAG
RNAcentral lists this small RNA (90 nucleotides) under Salmonella enterica. Its description in RNAcentral is "partial RtT sRNA". It matches the Rfam family "RtT RNA", at positions 1 to 89 of the family's 130-position model. Rfam says of the family: This family represents a bacterial cis-regulatory element known as RtT RNA. The exact function of RtT is unknown although it is thought that it may be involved in changing the cellular response in relation to amino acid starvation. Lineage: Bacteria; Pseudomonadati; Pseudomonadota; Gammaproteobacteria; Enterobacterales; Enterobacteriaceae. RNAcentral also lists the same sequence under 1 other name. The record is from RNAcentral.